GGAGUCUGGGCCGUAUCUCAGUCCCAAUGUGCCCGUCCAACCUCUCAGUCCGGGUACCCGUCGUCGCCUCGGUGGGCCUUUACCCCGCCGACCAGCUGAUGGGACGCGGGCCGUUCCCCUGCCGCGGCCGUAGCCGCUUUCUUCCCUGACUACCGCAGUCAGGGAACUCAUCCCGUAUCACCCGGCAUUUCUGCCGGCUGUCCCGGUGCAGGGGGUACGUCGCCCACGCGUUACUCACCAGUCCGCCGCUCUCAUGAGGGGCAAGCCCCUCAAUCCCGCCCGACUUGCAUGCUUAAGACGCGCCGCCG
RNAcentral lists this ribosomal RNA (308 nucleotides) under uncultured Treponema sp. RNAcentral describes it as "partial 16S ribosomal RNA". Lineage: Bacteria; Pseudomonadati; Spirochaetota; Spirochaetia; Treponematales; Treponemataceae. The record is from RNAcentral.